RNAcentral lists this ribosomal RNA (403 nucleotides) under uncultured bacterium. RNAcentral's name for it is "partial 16S ribosomal RNA". It matches the Rfam family "Bacterial small subunit ribosomal RNA", at positions 29 to 526 of the family's 1533-position model. The record is from RNAcentral.
AUUGAACGCUGGCGGCAGGCCUAACACAUGCAAGUCGAGCGAGCGGCGGACGGGUGAGUAAUGUAUGGGGACUGCCCGAUAGAGGGGGAUAACUACUGGAAACGGUGGCUAAUACCGCAUACUAUCGGAUAACCCAUAUGGGAUUCGCUAGUAGGGGGGGUAAAGGCUCACCUAGGCGACGAUCUCGAGCUGGUCUGAGAGGAUGAUCAGCCAAACGGGGACGGAGACACGGCCCAGACUCCUACGGGGGCAGCAGUGGGGAUUAUUGCACAAGGGGGGCAAGCCGGAUGCAGCCAUGCCGCGGGUAUGAAGAAGGCCUUCGGGUUGUAAAGUACUUUCAGUCGGGAGGCGUUACCGACAGAAGAAGCACCGGCUAACUCCGUGCCAGCCGCCGCGGUAAUUC